RNAcentral lists this ribosomal RNA (400 nucleotides) under phytoplankton environmental sample. RNAcentral describes it as "partial small subunit ribosomal RNA". It matches the Rfam family "Eukaryotic small subunit ribosomal RNA", at positions 587 to 990 of the family's 1831-position model. The record is from RNAcentral.
AGCUCCAAUAGCGUAUAUUAAUGUUGCUGCAGUUAAAAAGCUCGUAGUUGGAUCUCGGGUCCAGGCUUGCGGUUCCGCCCGUGCGGAUACUGCUUGUCCUGACCUACCAGCCGGCCGACCCUUGGUGCCCUUAACUGGGUGUCUCGGGCGGGCCGGAACGUUUACUUUGAAAAAAUUAGAGUGUUCAAAGCAGGCGGCUCGCCUGAAUAAUGGUGCAUGGAAUAAUGGAAAAUGAUCGAGUAGCCAAUUCUCGUUGGCCUUUGGUUGCGAGGUAAUGAUUGAGAGGGACUGCCGGGGGCAUUAGUAUGGCGGCGCUAGAGGUGAAAUUCUUGGACCGUCGCCAGACUAACAAGAGCGAAAGCAUUUGCCAAGAAUGUCUUCAUUAAUCAAGAACGAAAGU